GGAUGGGAAAAUUCCUGGGAAUGGAAUCCAGGGAAUCCAAACAGCUCUGAAAUCCAGGGAAAUUCCUGGAGCCAUUCCAGGAAUUCCCUUGGGGAUGAUUCCAAGGAAAGUGGGAAAUUCCUUGGGAAAAAGACGGGAAUUUUCCCUCCGGAGCACCGGGAUGAGCUCCCGGAGAGUUUGGGAUGGAUUUUAUCCCAUUCCAGCAAAACCAACUCCAGGAACAGGGAAAAUUCCUGGAUUUUUCCCUUUUUCAGAUCCAUUUUCCCGGUUUUUUUUGGCUCCCCAUUUCCCUAAAUCAUGGAAUUUCUUCCUUGGAAUUUCCCCUUUUCCCUUUUGUUUUUAUCAGAAGCCACAUUCCAUGAAUUUUUUGGGGAAUCACGGCAUUCCCACUGCAUUUUUCCCGAUUUUUUUUCCCGUCCCAGAACCCAACGAUCCGAAGGAAAAAGAGAAUUUCCAGCUCUUGGUGCUGCUCAACGAUCGCUUCCAAGCCCUCUGGAAUUUCACGGAGGAGAAUUCCCGGAUACUGAGGGGCUCCGAUUCCGGCUGUAUCCAGGAUUUUUACAUCCUCUGGAAAGGAGAUCUCUUCCUCAGCCUCUCCAUCCAGUAUUUUGUCACCUUCGCCAAUUUCGUGGUGGUUCAAGGAUUCGAGCGGGCGGCUGGGAACAAGAGGU
RNAcentral lists this long non-coding RNA (671 nucleotides) under Cyanistes caeruleus (blue tit). RNAcentral describes it as "lncRNA (ENSCCEG00000015914.1)". The record is from RNAcentral. Lineage: Eukaryota; Metazoa; Chordata; Aves; Passeriformes; Paridae.